CCUACGGGUGGCAGCAGUGAGGAAUAUUGGUCAAUGGACGAGAGUCUGAACCAGCCAAGUAGCGUGAAGGAUGACUGCCCUAUGGGUUGUAAACUUCUUUUAUAAAGGAAUAAAACGAGGUACGUGUGCCUUUUUGCAUGUACUUUAUGAAUAAGGAUCGGCUAACUCCGUGCCAGCAGCCGCGGUAAUACGGAGGAUCCGAGCGUUAUCCGGAUUUAUUUGGUUUAAAGGGAGCGUAGAUGGGUUGUUAAGUCAGUUGUGAAAGUUUGCGGCUCAACCGUAAAAUUGCAAUUGAUACUGGCAGUCUUGAGUACAGGUGAGGUAGGCGGAAUUCGUGGUGUAGCGGUGAAAUGCUUAGAUAUCACGAAGAACCCCGAUUGCGAAGGCAGCUUACUAAACUGUGACUGACAUUGAUGCUCGAAAGUGUGGGUAUCAAACAGGAUUAGAUACCCUUGUAGUC
Molecule: ribosomal RNA, 460 nt
Filed under: uncultured bacterium
Lineage: Bacteria
Description: partial 16S ribosomal RNA
Rfam family: Bacterial small subunit ribosomal RNA
Source: RNAcentral